GCCCGGUGCUGGAACGUUAAGGGGGACCGGUUAGCCUCACGGCGAAGCUGAGAACUUAAGCGCCAGUAAACGGCGGUGGUAACUAUAACCAUCCUAAGGUAGCGAAAUUCCUUGUCGGGUAAGUUCCGACCUGCACGAAUGGCGUAACGACUUCUCCACUGUCUCAACCACGAACUCGGCGAAAUUGCACUACGAGUAAAGAUGCUCGUUACGCGCAGAAGGACGGAAAGACCCCCGGGGACCUUUACUACAGCUUGGUAUUGGUGUUCGGUACGGCUUGUGUAGGAUAGGUGGGAGACUGUGAAGCUGACACGCCAGUGUCGGUGGAGUCAACGUUGAAAUGCCACUCUGGUCGUUCUGGAUAUCUAACCUAGGUCCGUAAUCCGGAUCAGGGACAGUGCCUGGUGGGUAGUUUAACUGGGGCGGUUGCCUCCUAAAAGGUAACGGAGGCGCCCAAAGGUUCCCUCAGCCUGGUUGGCAAUCAGGUUUCGAGUGUAAGUGCACAAGGGAGCUUGACUGUGAGACUGACAAGUCGAACAGGGACGAAAGUC
RNAcentral lists this ribosomal RNA (551 nucleotides) under uncultured bacterium. Its description in RNAcentral is "bacterial LSU rRNA". It matches the Rfam family "Bacterial large subunit ribosomal RNA", at positions 1861 to 2407 of the family's 2925-position model. The record is from RNAcentral.